UAAUACAUGCAAGUCGAGCGAACAGACGAGGAGCUUGCUCCUCUGACGUUAGCGGCGGACGGGUGAGUAACACGUGGAUAACCUACCUAUAAGACUGGGAUAACUUCGGGAAACCGGAGCUAAUACCGGAUAAUAUAUUGAACCGCAUGGCUCAAUAGUGAAAGACGGUUUUGCUGUCACUUAUAGAUGGAUCCGCGCCGCAUUAGCUAGUUGGUAAGGUAACGGCUUACCAAGGCAACGAUGCGUAGCCGACCUGAGAGGGUGAUCGGCCACACUGGAACUGAGACACGGUCCAGACUCCUACGGGAGGCAGCAGUAGGGAAUCUUCCGCAAUGGGCGAAAGCCUGACGGAGCAACGCCGCGUGAGUGAUGAAGGUCUUCGGAUCGUAAAACUCUGUUAUUAGGGAAGAACAAAUGUGUAAGUAACUAUGCACGUCUUGACGGUACCUAAUCAGAAAGCCACGGCUAACUACGUGCCAGCAGCCGCGGUAAUACGUAGGUGGCAAGCGUUAUCCGGAAUUAUUGGGCGUAAAGCGCGCGUAGGCGGUUUUUUAAGUCUGAUGUGAAAGCCCACGGCUCAACCGUGGAGGGUCAUUGGAAACUGGAAAACUUGAGUGCAGAAGAGGAAAGUGGAAUUCCAUGUGUAGCGGUGAAAUGCGCAGAGAUAUGGAGGAACACCAGUGGCGAAGGCGACUUUCUGGUCUGUAACUGACGCUGAUGUGCGAAAGCGUGGGGAUCAAACAGGAUUAGAUACCCUGGUAGUCCACGCCGU
RNAcentral lists this ribosomal RNA (772 nucleotides) under uncultured Staphylococcus sp. Its description in RNAcentral is "bacterial SSU rRNA". It matches the Rfam family "Bacterial small subunit ribosomal RNA", at positions 49 to 803 of the family's 1533-position model. The record is from RNAcentral. Lineage: Bacteria; Bacillati; Bacillota; Bacilli; Caryophanales; Staphylococcaceae.